This 292-nucleotide ribosomal RNA is filed under the name uncultured bacterium. RNAcentral's name for it is "partial 16S ribosomal RNA". It matches the Rfam family "Bacterial small subunit ribosomal RNA", at positions 505 to 796 of the family's 1533-position model. The record is from RNAcentral.
GUGUCAGCAGCCGCGGUAAUACAGAGGGUGCAAACGUUGUUCGGAAUCACUGGGCAUAAAGCGUACGUAGGCGGCGCCGUAAGUGUCGGAUGAAAUCCCACGGCUUACCCGUGGAACGGUCCGGCAUACUGCGGUGCUAGAGGAUGGUAGAGGAGAGCGGAACUCUUGGUGGAGCGGUGAAAUGCGUAGAUAUCAAGAGGAACACCGGUGGCGAAGGCGGCUCUCUGGUCCAUGUCUGACGCUGAGGUACGAAAGCCAGGGGAGCAAACGGGAUUAGAUACCCCAGUAGUCC